UACGAAGGGGGCUAGCGUUGCUCGGAAUCACUGGGCGUAAAGGGUGCGUAGGCGGGUCUUUAAGUCAGAGGUGAAAUCCUGGAGCUCAACUCCAGAACUGCCUUUGAUACUGAGGAUCUUGAGUUCGGGAGAGGUGAGUGGAACUGCGAGUGUAGAGGUGAAAUUCGUAGAUAUUCGCAAGAACACCAGUGGCGAAGGCGGCUCACUGGCCCGAUACCUGACGCUGAGGCACGAAAGCGUGGGGAAGCAAACAGGG
This 256-nucleotide ribosomal RNA is filed under the name uncultured bacterium. RNAcentral describes it as "partial 16S ribosomal RNA". It matches the Rfam family "Bacterial small subunit ribosomal RNA", at positions 524 to 777 of the family's 1533-position model. The record is from RNAcentral.